Molecule: non-coding RNA, 182 nt
Filed under: Natranaerobius trueperi
Lineage: Bacteria; Bacillati; Bacillota; Clostridia; Natranaerobiales; Natranaerobiaceae
Description: T-box sequence
Rfam family: T-box leader
About the family: Uncharged tRNA acts as the effector for transcription antitermination of genes in the T-box leader family. T-boxes are found upstream of many aminoacyl-tRNA synthetase genes and some amino acid biosynthetic genes usually in Gram-positive bacteria.
Source: RNAcentral
AGUAAAACGAUGAUGGGAGAUAGUAAAUUCAAAAGACCUUUUCAGAGAGCCAGGGUAAGGUGUGAGCCUGGUAAGGAAACUUGAAUUGAAUGGACCCGGAGUUAUUAAUUACUAAAGUGGGCUAUAAUAUAUAGUCAAUAUUAAGGUGGUACCGCGGGAGUUAACAAGCUUUCGUCCUUUUA